RNAcentral lists this ribosomal RNA (561 nucleotides) under uncultured bacterium. RNAcentral describes it as "partial 16S ribosomal RNA". It matches the Rfam family "Bacterial small subunit ribosomal RNA", at positions 355 to 925 of the family's 1533-position model. The record is from RNAcentral.
UGGGGAAUAUUGGACAAUGGGCGGAAGCCUGAUCCAGCAACGCCGCGUGAGGGAUGACGGCCUUCGGGUUGUAAACCUCUUUCAGUACCGACGAAGCGAAAGUGACGGUAGGUACAGAAGAAGGACCGGCCAACUACGUGCCAGCAGCCGCGGUAAUACGUAGGGUCCGAGCGUUGUCCGGAAUUAUUGGGCGUAAAGGGCUCGUAGGCGGUUUGUCGCGUCGGGAGUGAAAACAGCGGGCUUAACUCGUUGCUUGCUUUCGAUACGGGCAGACUAGAGGUAUGCAGGGGAGAAUGGAAUUCCUGGUGUAGCGGUGAAAUGCGCAGAUAUCAGGAGGAACACCGGUGGCGAAGGCGGUUCUCUGGGCAUUACCUGACGCUGAGGAGCGAAAGUGUGGGGAGCGAACAGGAUUAGAUACCCUGGUAGUCCACACCGUAAAACGUUGGGCGCUAGGUGUGGGGUCCUUUCCACGGAUUCCGUGCCGUAGCUAACGCAUUAAGCGCCCCGCCUGGGGAGUACGGCCGCAAGGCUAAAACUCAAAUGAAUUGACGGGGUCAUAGC